Molecule: non-coding RNA, 376 nt
Organism: Cinara cedri
Lineage: Eukaryota; Metazoa; Arthropoda; Insecta; Hemiptera; Aphididae
Source: the annotation of a GenBank genome assembly
UAUAAAAAUAUUAUGCACACGUGUAUAGGCGGAUAAUAAACACCGAUAGAGGCGUACGCUUCGAAUCGAGCACGUAUCGGAGACGUACGCACGUUACACGAAUAAAUUAAAAUAUCUCCGACUCGUUCGACUCGUAUUGCGCGCGCGGAAACAUUUCUAAACGGGCACAGAGACGAAUAUUAUUACGUUUUCUGGAAUGCUAGCCUAUAAUACGACGUUAUUAUGUUAUGCGUUGCCGUCCCGCAGAGCGAUCCGGUAGUCGAGUGGCGGUCUCGAGGUGAGCAUCCGGCCGGACAACGGUGCGAUUAAAUACCGUGACUCAUCGACGGCGCGAGAACAAUUAUAUCGUCCGGGCGCGUACCCUUUGCCGUCGCCG